RNAcentral lists this unclassified non-coding RNA (245 nucleotides) under uncultured fungus. RNAcentral's name for it is "sequence contains ITS1". Lineage: Eukaryota; Fungi. The record is from RNAcentral.
AAAUGGCUGUAGCCUGGGCAGGCCUGGCGGAUGCGAGGUUCGUGCUGGCGUGUUAUGGAAAGGUGGCUCCUCGCGAACUGAUGCCGAAGGCGCGCGUUGCCGCCGAGAAGGCCAUGGCGAUCGAUGAGUCGCUGGCCGAAGCGCAUGUAUCCCUGGCGGCAGUGAUGGCCAUUUAUGACUGGGAUUGGGCGGGAUCGGAGAAGGAGUUCCGCCGUGCCAUGGAACUCGAUCCGGAUUGCGCACCG